GACGAACGCUGGCGGCGUGCCUAAUACAUGCAAGUAGAACGCUGAAGAGAGGAGCUUGCUCUUCUUGGAUGAGUUGCGAACGGGUGAGUAACGCGUAGGUAACCUGCCUUGUAGCGGGGGAUAACUAUUGGAAACGAUAGCUAAUACCGCAUAACAAUGGAUGACACAUGUCAUUUAUUUGAAAGGGGCAAUUGCUCCACUACAAGAUGGACCUGCGUUGUAUUAGCUAGUAGGUGAGGUAAUGGCUCACCUAGGCGACGAUACAUAGCCGACCUGAGAGGGUGAUCUGCCACACUGGGACUGAGACGCGGCCCAGACGCCUACGGGAGGCAGCAGUAGGGAAUCUUCGGCAAUGGGGGCAACCCUGACCGAGCAACGCCGCGGGAGUGAAGAAGGUUUUCGGAUCGUAAAGCUCUGUUGUAAGUCAAGAACGGGUGUGAGAGUGGAAAGUUCACACUGUGACGGUAGCUUACCAGAAAGGGACGGCUAACUACGUG
This 497-nucleotide ribosomal RNA is filed under the name uncultured bacterium. RNAcentral describes it as "partial 16S ribosomal RNA". It matches the Rfam family "Bacterial small subunit ribosomal RNA", at positions 28 to 507 of the family's 1533-position model. The record is from RNAcentral.